Molecule: long non-coding RNA, 467 nt
Filed under: Trifolium pratense (red clover)
Lineage: Eukaryota; Viridiplantae; Streptophyta; Magnoliopsida; Fabales; Fabaceae
Description: long non-coding RNA (TPRA_LNC009354)
Source: RNAcentral
UCAAAAUUGUUUGCCAAAAGGAGUAGAGAACUUCUGCAACGUGACACAAUGAAAAGGACGGGUAGUUGCAUCCAUCUGUGCGUUUGCUUUUUUUUUUGUUGACCUAAACAAACCGGACCGGGCUUGGUUGGGCCUUAAUGGACUGGACUGUUGUUUUUGGCCCAGCAAGCAAUGAGAUGAAUGGGAGGGAAAGGAAAUUCAAAUUGCUGGCCAAAAGAAGCAAAAAUUUUCAAAUUCUUCCAGCUAGGAUUUGUGCAGAUUGUAUGUGUGAUUGACAUGUGUCAAAAAUUACCAUUUUGCUGUGGUCUUUUUGUGUAGUUAAAAUGAUAACGCAGUAAUCACGCAGUAAUCAAUCUUAUCCAUUAAUUUUACAUCGAACGGUUAUAAUACAUAUACAUUAAAAUGAUCCUGACCAUUCAUUUAGAUCGGACGGUUGAUACUGUAACUGCGUUAACGCAGUUACAGCA